UACGGAGGGGACUAGCGUUGUUCGGAAUUACUGGGCGUAAAGCGCACGUAGGCGGAUUUGUAAGUCAGGGGUGAAAUCCCGGGGCUCAACCUCGGAACUGCCUUUGAUACUGCAAAUCUCGAGUCCGGAAGAGGUGAGUGGAAUUCCUAGUGUAGAGGUGAAAUUCGUAGAUAUUAGGAAGAACACCAGUGGCGAAGGCGGCUCACUGGUCCGGUACUGACGCUGAGGUGCGAAAGCGUGGGGAGCAACAGG
RNAcentral lists this ribosomal RNA (252 nucleotides) under uncultured bacterium. RNAcentral's name for it is "partial 16S ribosomal RNA". It matches the Rfam family "Bacterial small subunit ribosomal RNA", at positions 524 to 775 of the family's 1533-position model. The record is from RNAcentral.